GCCUACGGGGCGCAGCAGUGAGGAAUAUUGGUCAAUGGGCGGGAGCCUGAACCAGCCAAGCCGCGUGAAGGAAGAAGGCGCCAAGCGUUGUAAACUUCUUUUGUCGGGGAACAAAGCGCGCCACGUGUCGCGUUGUGCGUGUAUCCGAAGAAAAAGCAUCGGCUAACUCCGUGCCAGCAGCCGCGGUAAUACGGAGGAUGCGAGCGUUAUCCGGAUUUAUUGGGUUUAAAGGGUGCGUAGGCGGUCUGGAAAGUCAGCGGUAAAAGUCCGGGGCUCAACCCCG
This 283-nucleotide ribosomal RNA is filed under the name uncultured bacterium. Its description in RNAcentral is "partial 16S ribosomal RNA". It matches the Rfam family "Bacterial small subunit ribosomal RNA", at positions 337 to 617 of the family's 1533-position model. The record is from RNAcentral.